CGGAAGUGAUCACUGUGGCUGGCGUCCGGAAGCAAGGGCAAAGAGUGAUACACAUAACUGGGAAGACACACCCAUCUUAGUCCUUCCCUACAUCAUCAGCCGGGCUAUUAGAGCAACUCGUUCUCCUUCAUUCACCCUAUAGAAGACCCAGGCUGGGGUGGAAGGGAGAUCUGAGUUGUAAAGUCGUUUAUAAUAUAGUCAUCAGGGUCUCAAUGAACAAGCACCACAGAGACUCUAUCAAGAAGUGUAUCUGUCUCCAGAGAACUGUGCUUCUGGUCGUCUACUGACAAGGGGAAGAAGCUGAGGAGGUGAUGUUACCAGAGCUACUUUGCUGGCAUUGGUGAGGAUUCCCAGGAAGGCUUCAGGGUGUUGCCAUGCAGUCCAGAGGCUACUGUCCUCACGUUGAGACUCCCACCAGAGAUACAUCUGCCUGAUUUCUCCUCAUCCUGCAUCAUUCAUGAGGCAAGACCCAGCAACCUCUGCUCACAGGACUGCUUUCCUGUCUUGUAAAGACAACACCUCCAUCUUCCGAAGACAAAGGACAAUCAGUCACACGUUGGAUUCCUGGAGUGUUGUGAUAUGGAUUGAGCAUACUCCGUUCAGAGACGCUGAAUGAUCAAUGGAAUAUUUUU
RNAcentral lists this small RNA (632 nucleotides) under Rattus norvegicus (Norway rat). Its description in RNAcentral is "uncharacterized LOC102548095". The record is from RNAcentral. Lineage: Eukaryota; Metazoa; Chordata; Mammalia; Rodentia; Muridae.